GGGGAUGGUGUCCCCUCCCCCGUCGUAAGGAAAACAGGGGUCGGCGCCCUUGUCCUCCUCCUCCAUGAUGACGGACAGAGAGUCGGCAAGAGGAGGCCAGGCGACGCUAGGCUAAGCUAGUCUUCCUUGAGCACAGCAGCUGACUUCAGGGCUGAUGACAUCAUCGCACACAAACAAACACUCACAGCCUGCUCAGUUGCCAGGGGAGAUCACCGAGCCUGUGCUGACCACUGACAAGCACCCCUCUAGAAGACAUUAAGACCUCUUCCACCGCAGGAACCGCGGAAAAAACUACGCGGGUACAGCAGGUAGGAUGUGACCUAGAGGUGAAAGAGAAAUUCUGGAAGGAGCGAGACCAAGUCGUUCUGAGCAUCCCAGACAGAGAGAGAGUCGGGAUUGGUGCAGAUUGUCAUGGACAUGUUGGUGAAGGAAAUAGGGGUGACGAAGAAGUGAUGGGUGCUCCCUACCUGGGGAGGAAGCGUCCCCGUCGAGCAGGUUGUCAUCCUCAGUGGUGUGAAAGUCCAUGACGAUGCCAGCUCCAUCCAGCAGCUCCUCGUCGCUGCUGGCGCUGGCAAUGCUGUUGUAGCUGUUCUGGGAGUAGCCUCUGUGGUACAGCUGCUCUGACUCCAUUUAGCAAAGCACCAGUGCCCUGGGUGACAUGAGAACAUGAGCAAAUCGCCUCAUUAAACAUUCAACUGAUAUAUAAGCUGGUCAUGUCUAAAUCCAUGUGUGUCUUGUAUUUAAAUACUCAAUGUAAUUGAGUAAUUUUUUGUCAUUGUGCAGUCAGUUUUGCAGUAAGCUCCAACUGGGGUGUCAAUAAACAGCUUAAAGCGCGCUCAGGGAAGGCAGAAGAACAUGCUACAAGCAACAGCGCGUGCGUUCAACGCAGGAACUUGCAUACACAACCCGCGCUGAACAAUCGCUUAAUUGUAUUAAUAAAAAAAACAAUUUUUUCGUAUGCUCCUCUGGGCCCGGGACUUCGUUUCAGCUUGAGGUCACGAAGAGAUGGCCGGACAUCAGAAUUCAUGGUUCCAUUUAUUACAGCAGGUCUAGCAGGUCCUGAAGUAGACCUCAGACCACACGACUACCACCACCGUAUUUUACUGUUGGCAUGAUGUUCUUUUUCUGAAAUGCGGUGUUACUUUUUACGCCACACACACCUUCCAAAAAGUUCAACUUUUGUGUCGUCAGAACCAAAGACAACUUUACCAAAGGUCCUGGGGAUCGUCAAGAUGUCUUCUGGCAAAAUUAAGAUGAGGCUUAAUGUUCUCUUUGCUCAGCAGUGGAACACUGACCUCGAAGGUCAGAGGACAAACAUGUUAAGAGGUCAGUUAAAAUUCAUAUUUGCAUUGUUUAUGUGUUAUGUAACACAUUUCCAGCAAGUUGACGACCAUAGUUUAGGUAAAAAUGGUGAUCUCCUGGCAAAGCAAAUCAAGUGGAAUUGACAAUUUCUUGCGGCAGCUCGACGCGUUGGCUCGGAUCCUCCACGGCGAGACGAGCUGGCGUUGACGUAGCGGCGCGGAUACAAAGUGUCUCGCUACAAGUUACCGCUGCUAGCAAAGCUGGCGAAGCGAAAAAAGAAAAGAAGGAAGCGACCAUCCGCCGUUGAAAAAGACUUUUAUCUUUGCUGUACUGAGGAGAGGCUUCCGUCGGGCCACUCUGCCAUAACGCCCAAACUGGUGGAGAGCUGCAGUGAUGGUUGCCUUUCUAGAACUUUCUCCCACCUCCCGACUGCAUCUCUGGAGCUCAGCUACAGUGAUCUUUGGGUUCUUCUUUACCCGUCUCACCGAGGCUCUCUACCGAAAAAAAAACUACCAGGGCACGGAGGGUUCCCCCUGGAUUAUUUUGUUCCUCCUGGUGGAGCGGGUCUUCUGAGAGCUACCAGGAACUCUUUGAGGGGGCGGGCUGUGCUGACGAAAGCUGAUUGGUUGACAGACGUCUGUAGGGGUUUACUUUUUCAAUUCAAAGAGUCGCCAUUAUGUGGCGUUCCGCAGGGCUCGAAACAGGAGGAUUAAAAUACAUUGAAAAGCAAAACUUCGAAUCAUCGACCGAGCGGUGGCGGACCUCGCGGCGAGAUUUGCCGUUGCUGACCGACUCUGUUCUGCUAAGGAGAAUUCGAGCUCAAGCGGGCGUGUACAUCUUCCUCGGCCGGGCCAGAGGGGACGAACACCAGCGUCUUCUGCCGACCAGGAUUUGAGUAAAUGGGAUCCGGAAUCGUCAUACGAGUGAACUCCCUCUGGAUCGCCAGCCGAGCUUCAUCCCUUCGGAUGAUAUGGAGACGAAGCUGCCUUGUGUCAACCGUCGAGACCUUCAAGUUCCUGGGAAUUACAGUCUCUCAGGACCUGAAGCGGGCGACCAACAUCAACUACGUCCUCAAAAAGGCCCAGCAUGUACAUGAGGAUGUACUUCCUGCGGCUUCUGAGGAAGCACGGCCUGCCACGGGAGCUGCUGGGGCGGUUCGACACAGCGGACAUCCAAUCGGUCCUGUGUUCUUCCUUCACAGUCUGGUUUGGUGCUGCUAUAAAAAAGGACAAACUCCGACUGCGACGGACAAUCAAAACUGCUGAAAGGAUUGUCGGUACCCCCCGACCCACCCUUGAGGACUUGCACGCUGCCAGAACUAAGACAAGAGCGUGCAAAAUCCUCUCGGACCCUCCGCAUCCCGGUCACCGGCUCUUCCGGCUCCUUCCCUCAGGUAGUCGCUACCGAUCAAUGCAAACUAGAACUAGCAGACAUUCCAACACCUCCAUCCCUCUUGCCAUCAACUUCUUAAACAGCUAACCUACAAUUCCAUUACAACAUGCUGGCCAUUUUUUGACUUGACUUUGUUGUCACAUUUGUGUGGGGCCAAUGAUGUGUUACUCGUGCACUCACUGUAGUCGUCUCGCCACGCCGCACUAUUUGCAUAUCUGCUGUUGACCAAUACUGGCCACUCAUGCCAGAGUAGCAUCUGCUCCAUUUGCACACUGACUGAGGAGUAUCUGCAACAUUUGCACAAUCAACAUUGUCCCAGAUUAUCGCACUACUCUCUUAAAGUCUCGGCGCCCUUUGCACAACGGUCAUUGCACCGGACUAUUGCAAUAUUAGUCUUUCGAACUGCUCUAAGUGCUAGAGGACUCUGCAUCUUUUUGCACAAUUGUCAAAAAUAAAUAAAUAAAUGUAGAGGCAUUACCAGAUAACUA
Phyllopteryx taeniolatus (common seadragon) is the source of this 3182-nucleotide long non-coding RNA. RefSeq lists it as uncharacterized. The record is from RefSeq and is a predicted model, not a curated record. The transcript has 5 exons. Lineage: Eukaryota; Metazoa; Chordata; Actinopteri; Syngnathiformes; Syngnathidae.